RNAcentral lists this long non-coding RNA (340 nucleotides) under Solanum tuberosum (potato). Its description in RNAcentral is "long non-coding RNA (STUB_LNC004561)". The record is from RNAcentral. Lineage: Eukaryota; Viridiplantae; Streptophyta; Magnoliopsida; Solanales; Solanaceae.
AUUCGUGUUAAAAUUUCAAAAAGUUCAUAAAUGUCCAGAGAUCUAAACUAGGGAGUAAGAUCUACAUAAUCAUCCUCAUCACUCUCGUCGUCGGUGUCAUCGGGAGCCGAAGUAGUAGGUCGACGAGCGAGGUUCAUCACUUGUUCUUUGAUUUGCUGAACGGUCUCACUCAUGCUUUGUUGUUCAGCUACUCUUUUCCGCUCCAACUCUUCUAGUUCCGCUAUAAGUUUAGCUAUUUGAUCCGACAUAACAGCAAUCUGAACACCGUCAAGUGCCUCAGCUUGACGUGACGAUCCAAUACUUUCUAAGCCUGACUGAAGGUGUCUAACAUCGUUGCGAG